Molecule: small nucleolar RNA, 127 nt
Filed under: Microcebus murinus (gray mouse lemur)
Lineage: Eukaryota; Metazoa; Chordata; Mammalia; Primates; Cheirogaleidae
Description: Small nucleolar RNA SNORA72 (ENSMICG00000022166.3)
Rfam family: Small nucleolar RNA SNORA72
About the family: U72 is a member of the H/ACA class of snoRNAs. The snoRNA gene is located in intron 4 of the ribosomal L30 protein gene in human, mouse and chicken.
Source: Rfam by way of RNAcentral
AAGUGACUGUACUCUUCUAUUUUGUAAUAAUCAGGACAGGCUAAACAUUCGCUAUGUUAAAGCUAUGCACAUGUCCCCAGACCUAGUUCUUUCCCUAGGUUUGGUUUUAUAAAUGCUUGUGAUAAAC